GAGUUUGAUCCUGGCUCAGAAUGAACGUUGGCGGCGUGGAUUAGGCAUGCGAGUCGCGCGAGAAUGUAGCAAUACAGGGAAGCGGCGAAAGGGAGAGGACAACAUAGGAAUCUGCCCUGGGGUCGAGGAUAGCGUCGGGAAACUGACGGUAAUACUCGAUGAUAUCUUUGGAUCAAAGGAGCAAUCUGCCCCGGGAUGAGCCUAUGCCCCAUUAGCUAGUUGGCGGUGUAAUGGACCACCAAGGCUGUGAUGGGUAGCUGGUGUGAGAGCACGACCAGCCUCACUGGCACUGAGACACUGGCCAGACACCUACGGGUGGCUGCAGUCGAGAAUCUUCGGCAAUGGACGAAAGUCUGACCGAGCGACGCCGCGUGUGGGAUGAAGGUCUUCGGAUUGUAAACCACUGUCGAGGGGGAUUAAGGGCAACUUGAAAGAACCCUGGAGGAAGGGGAGGCUAAGCUCGUGCCAGCAGCCGCGGUAAGACGAGCUCCCCAAACGUUAUUCGGUAUCACUGGGCUUAAAGAGUUCGUAGGCGGCGAAGUAGGUGAGGUGUGAAAGCCCUCGGCUCAACCGAGGAACUGCGCUUCAAACCGCUUUGCUAGAGGGAGAUAGGGGUAAGCGGAACAGAUGGU
RNAcentral lists this ribosomal RNA (632 nucleotides) under uncultured bacterium. RNAcentral describes it as "bacterial SSU rRNA". It matches the Rfam family "Bacterial small subunit ribosomal RNA", at positions 9 to 674 of the family's 1533-position model. The record is from RNAcentral.